RNAcentral lists this transfer RNA (71 nucleotides) under Chlorotetraedron incus. RNAcentral's name for it is "tRNA-Lys". It matches the Rfam family "tRNA". Rfam says of the family: Transfer RNA (tRNA) molecules are approximately 80 nucleotides in length. Their secondary structure includes four short double-helical elements and three loops (D, anti-codon, and T loops). Lineage: Eukaryota; Viridiplantae; Chlorophyta; Chlorophyceae; Sphaeropleales; Neochloridaceae. The record is from RNAcentral.
GGGUUUGUAGCUCAAUGGUAGAGCAAAGAGCUUUUAACUCUUUGGUUGCGGGUUCGAGUCCUGCCAGACUC